CGGGGUGUAGCGCAGUCCGGUCUAGCGCGCCUGGUUCGGGACCAGGAGGUCGGAGGUUCAAAUCCUCUCACCCCGACCA
Molecule: transfer RNA, 79 nt
Filed under: Candidatus Hydrogenedentes bacterium ADurb.Bin170
Lineage: Bacteria; Pseudomonadati; Candidatus Hydrogenedentota
Also listed under: 2 other names
Description: tRNA-Pro
Rfam family: tRNA
About the family: Transfer RNA (tRNA) molecules are approximately 80 nucleotides in length. Their secondary structure includes four short double-helical elements and three loops (D, anti-codon, and T loops). Further hydrogen bonds mediate the characteristic L-shaped molecular structure. tRNAs have two regions of fundamental functional importance: the anti-codon, which is responsible for specific mRNA codon recognition, and the 3' end, to which the tRNAs corresponding amino acid is attached (by aminoacyl-tRNA synthetases). tRNAs cope with the degeneracy of the genetic code in two manners: having more than one tRNA (with a specific anti-codon) for a particular amino acid; and 'wobble' base-pairing, i.e. permitting non-standard base-pairing at the 3rd anti-codon position.
Source: RNAcentral